RNAcentral lists this non-coding RNA (102 nucleotides) under Acetomicrobium hydrogeniformans. RNAcentral's name for it is "Moco (molybdenum cofactor) riboswitch". It matches the Rfam family "Molybdenum/Tungsten riboswitch aptamer (Moco RNA motif)", at positions 12 to 120 of the family's 135-position model. Lineage: Bacteria; Thermotogati; Synergistota; Synergistia; Synergistales; Acetomicrobiaceae. The record is from RNAcentral.
GUAGCCUCCGAGUCAAUGUUUCUAAGGGCAAUUGCCUAUGAGCAUUGACCAAAAGGGUCUUUUUGGAAACGAAAAGGCCUCCCGUCUGGAAAGGAGGAAGUG